RNAcentral lists this ribosomal RNA (440 nucleotides) under uncultured Pelagibacterales bacterium. Its description in RNAcentral is "bacterial SSU rRNA". It matches the Rfam family "Bacterial small subunit ribosomal RNA", at positions 1077 to 1533 of the family's 1533-position model. Lineage: Bacteria; Pseudomonadati; Pseudomonadota; Alphaproteobacteria; Candidatus Pelagibacterales. The record is from RNAcentral.
UGGGUAGUCCGCACGAGCGCACCUCACUUUUAGUUGCCACCAUUUAGUUGGGCACUCUGAAAGAACUGCCUGUGAUAAGCUGGAGGAAGGUGGGGAUGACGUCAAGUCCUCAUGGCCCUUAUGUGUUGGGCUACACACGUGCUACAAUGGCAUUUACAAUAGGAAGCAAGAUGGCGACAUUAAGCAAAUCCUAAAAAAUGCCUUAGUUCGGAUUGUACUCUGCAACUCGAGUACAUGAAGCUGGAAUUACUAGUAAUCGUGGAUCAGCGUGCCACGGUGAAUACGUUCCCGGGUCUUGUACACACCGCCCGUCACACCAUGGGAGUUGGUUCUACCUUAAGGCAAAGAUUAAAACCUUUGACCUCGGUAUAGUCAGCGACUGGGGUGAAGUCGUAACAAGGUAGCCGUAGGGGAACCUGCGGCUGGAUUACCUCCUUUCU